GCGGCUGAGGUGUUAUGACAGCACGCCGGUUUUGUAAUCCGGAAGCCUGGGUUUGACUCCCAGUGGCCGCUCCA
Molecule: transfer RNA, 74 nt
Filed under: marine sediment metagenome
Description: tRNA-Thr
Rfam family: tRNA
About the family: Transfer RNA (tRNA) molecules are approximately 80 nucleotides in length. Their secondary structure includes four short double-helical elements and three loops (D, anti-codon, and T loops).
Source: RNAcentral